Molecule: ribosomal RNA, 906 nt
Filed under: uncultured archaeon
Lineage: Archaea
Description: bacterial SSU rRNA
Rfam family: Archaeal small subunit ribosomal RNA
Source: RNAcentral
CCCCACUGCUAUCGGGAUGGGACUAAGACAUGCUAGUCGUGCGUCUCCAAGCCAUGGCGGAGACGCGGCGCACAGCUCAGUAACACGUGGCUAACCUGCCCUUAGGACAGGGACAACCCCGGGAAACUGGGGCUAAUCCCUGAUAGGUGAGGGUUCCUGGAAUGGGCCCUCGCCGAAAGGGCGCCUAGACCAUGCUUCUAGGUGCUGCCCAAGGAUGGAGCCGCGGCCGAUCAGGUUGUUGGUGAGGCAACGGCUCACCAAGCCUUUAACCGGUACGGGCCGUGAGAGCGGGAGCCCGGAGAUGGGUACUGAGACAAGGACCCAGGCCCUACGGGGCGCAGCAGUCGCGAAAACUCCGCAAUACGCGAAAGCGUGACGGGGCUAUCCCGAGUGCCGUCCGCUGAGGAUGGCUUUUCCCUAGUGUAUAAAGCUGGGGGAAUAAGGAGAGGGCAAGCCUGGUGUCAGCCGCCGCGGUAAUACCAGCUCUCCGAGUGGUGGGGAUGCUUAUUGGGCCUAAAGCAUUCGUAGCCGGUUGGGCAAGUCCUCCGUUAAAUCCAGCGAUUCAAUCGUUGGACUGCGGGGGAUACUGUCCGGCUUGGGGGCGGAAGAGGCCGACGGUAUUCUCGGGGUAGGGGUGAAAUCCUAUAAUCCCGGGAGGACCACCAGUGGCGAAGGCUGUCGGCUAGAACGCGCCCGACGGUGAGGGAUGAAAGCUGGGGGAGCGAACCGGAUUAGAUACCCGGGUAGUCCCAGCUGUAAACGAUGCAGGCUAGGUGUUGGCGCGGCUACGUGCCGCUCCAGUGCCGCAAGGAAGCCGUUAAGCCUGCCGCCUGGGAAGUACGGCCGCAAGGCUGAAACUUAAAGGAAUUGGCGGGGGAGCACCACAAGGGGUGAAGCUUGCGGUUU